RNAcentral lists this ribosomal RNA (736 nucleotides) under Pseudarthrobacter siccitolerans. RNAcentral's name for it is "bacterial SSU rRNA". It matches the Rfam family "Bacterial small subunit ribosomal RNA", at positions 389 to 1136 of the family's 1533-position model. The record is from RNAcentral. Lineage: Bacteria; Bacillati; Actinomycetota; Actinomycetes; Micrococcales; Micrococcaceae.
CAGCGACGCCGCGUGAGGGAUGACGGCCUUCGGGUUGUAAACCUCUUUCAGUAGGGAAGAAGCGAAAGUGACGGUACCUGCAGAAGAAGCGCCGGCUAACUACGUGCCAGCAGCCGCGGUAAUACGUAGGGCGCAAGCGUUAUCCGGAAUUAUUGGGCGUAAAGAGCUCGUAGGCGGUUUGUCGCGUCUGCCGUGAAAGUCCGGGGCUCAACUCCGGAUCUGCGGUGGGUACGGGCAGACUAGAGUGAUGUAGGGGAGACUGGAAUUCCUGGUGUAGCGGUGAAAUGCGCAGAUAUCAGGAGGAACACCGAUGGCGAAGGCAGGUCUCUGGGCAUUAACUGACGCUGAGGAGCGAAAGCAUGGGGAGCGAACAGGAUUAGAUACCCUGGUAGUCCAUGCCGUAAACGUUGGGCACUAGGUGUGGGGGACAUUCCACGUUUUCCGCGCCGUAGCUAACGCAUUAAGUGCCCCGCCUGGGGAGUACGGCCGCAAGGCUAAAACUCAAAGGAAUUGACGGGGGCCCGCACAAGCGGCGGAGCAUGCGGAUUAAUUCGAUGCAACGCGAAGAACCUUACCAAGGCUUGACAUGAACCGGAAAGACCUGGAAACAGGUCCCCCGCUUGCGGUCGGUUUACAGGUGGUGCAUGGUUGUCGUCAGCUCGUGUCGUGAGAUGUUGGGUUAAGUCCCGCAACGAGCGCAACCCUCGUUCUAUGUUGCCAGCGCGUGAUGGCGGGG